RNAcentral lists this ribosomal RNA (468 nucleotides) under uncultured bacterium. RNAcentral describes it as "partial 16S ribosomal RNA". It matches the Rfam family "Bacterial small subunit ribosomal RNA", at positions 28 to 507 of the family's 1533-position model. The record is from RNAcentral.
GACGAACGCUGGCGGCGUGCUUAACACAUGCCAGUCGAACGGACAGGCCCUGCUUUUGUGGGGUGCUCGAGUGGCGCACGGGUGAGUAACACGCGAGUAUCCUGCCCUUGACUUUGGGAUAACUUCAGGAAACUGGGGCUCAUACCGGAUAGGAGCUCCUGCUGCAUGGGGGGGGUUGGAAAGAUUCGGCGGUUGGGGAUGGACUCGCGGCUUAUCCGCUUGUUGGUGGGGUAGUGGCUUACAAAGGUUGCGACGGAUAGCCGGCCUGAGAGGGUGACCGGCCACAUUGGGACUGCGAGACGGCCCAGACGCCUACGGGAGGCAGCAGGGGGGAAUAUUGCACAAUGGGCGGGAGCGUGAGACAGCAACGCCGCGUGCGGGAUGACGGCCUACGAGUGGUAAACCGAUUUCGCCGGUAACGAAGCGGGAGUGACGGUAAUUGGUAAAGAAGCACCGGCUAACUACGUG